Coccomyxa subellipsoidea C-169 is the source of this 75-nucleotide transfer RNA. It matches the Rfam family "tRNA". From Rfam's summary of the family: Transfer RNA (tRNA) molecules are approximately 80 nucleotides in length. Their secondary structure includes four short double-helical elements and three loops (D, anti-codon, and T loops). The record is from Rfam. NCBI's taxonomy places the organism in Eukaryota, Viridiplantae, Chlorophyta, Trebouxiophyceae, Coccomyxaceae.
GCAUUCUUAGCUCAACAGGAACAGAGCGGCAACCUUCUAAGUUGCGGGCCACAGGUUCAAGUCCUGCAGAAUGCU